Molecule: non-coding RNA, 144 nt
Organism: Gossypium hirsutum (cotton)
Lineage: Eukaryota; Viridiplantae; Streptophyta; Magnoliopsida; Malvales; Malvaceae
Source: Rfam
AGAUAAAAAUUUCAUCAAUUUCUACUAUUAAAACUGGUGUAGCCGACGAAAUAACUAGACAUAUACAUAUGACAUGUCAUAUGUAUCUCAUGUCAACGUACAGAGACUAAUUUUUAACCGUAGAAAUGUAUGAAACUUAUAACA